CUUAAAUUCAAAUUUUCAAUUUAAAAUUUAAAAUCUAAAUUUGAAAUUUAAAAUUUAAAAUUUGAAUAUUUGAAAAUUAUUUGAAAAUUUAAAAUUUAAUUUUGAAUUUUAAAAAUUUGAAAUAUGUAAUUAGAAAGUUACAACUUAUAUUUUAAAUUUUAAAUAUUAGAUUUUAAAUUUGAUUCUAAAAUUUUUAAAUAUAAAUUUUAUCUUAAAUUUUAAUUUGAAAUUUUAUUAUUUUGAAGUUAAAAUUUUGAAAUUUCAAAUAUAAAAAUUAAAAUGCAA
RNAcentral lists this long non-coding RNA (285 nucleotides) under Ananas comosus (pineapple). Its description in RNAcentral is "long non-coding RNA (ACOM_LNC020043)". The record is from RNAcentral. Lineage: Eukaryota; Viridiplantae; Streptophyta; Magnoliopsida; Poales; Bromeliaceae.